RNAcentral lists this ribosomal RNA (495 nucleotides) under uncultured bacterium. Its description in RNAcentral is "partial 16S ribosomal RNA". It matches the Rfam family "Bacterial small subunit ribosomal RNA", at positions 28 to 507 of the family's 1533-position model. The record is from RNAcentral.
GACGAACGCUGGCGGCGUGCCUAAUACAUGCAAGUAGAACGCUGAAGGAGGAGCUUGCUUCUCUGGAUGAGUUGCGAACGGGUGAGUAACGCGUAGGUAACCUGCCUGGUAGCGGGGGAUAACUAUUGGAAACGAUAGCUAAUACCGCAUAAGAGUAGAUGUUGCAUGACAUUUGCUUGAAAGGUGCAAUUGCAUCACUACCAGAUGGACCUGCGUUGUAUUAGCUAGUUGGUGGGGUAACGGCUCACCAAGGCGACGAUACAUAGCCGACCUGAGAGGGUGAUCAGCCACACUGGGACUGAGACACGGCCCAGACUUCUGCGGGAGGCAGCAGUAGGGAAUCUUCGGCAAUGGACGGAAGUCUGACCGAGCAACGCCGCGUGAGUGAAGAAGGUUUUCGGAUCGUAAAGCUCGGUUGUAAGAGAAGAACGAGUGUGAGAGUGGAAAGUUCACACUGUGACGGUAUCUGACCAGAAAGGGACGGCUAACUACGUG